Podarcis raffonei (Aeolian wall lizard) is the source of this 4440-nucleotide long non-coding RNA. RefSeq lists it as uncharacterized. The record is from RefSeq and is a predicted model, not a curated record. Lineage: Eukaryota; Metazoa; Chordata; Lepidosauria; Squamata; Lacertidae. The transcript has 4 exons.
ACAGCAAGAAAAAAGAUGCUGGUUUUGUGUAUGUGAUGUGGGUCCUUUAAGAUUGCCUCCGCUCCUUAGCUGGAAGGGUGGGAUAUGCUGCAAAUAGGUGGCACUUAUAGGUUUUAAAGUUAAAUAAAAUUACUGUACGACUUCCAUUUCAGAGAAGAUUUCAGCGGGUAAUUAUAGCAGAGUUAAUGCACUAAACUUUGUUUUUUAAAAAUACACCCCACUGCAGAACAUUUAAAAAAAAAUAGGUGGGCGUAUUGCUUAACAAGGAAAUAAAGCAUAAUUUUGGAGGAGGAGGUGGAGAGUAAAAUUGUAACACCCAUGGCAACGAGAUGCAUAAAAAUGAAUGAGUGUUUCCUUAGUAUUAUCGCCACCUCCAGCUCAAUUUCCUUUUUCUCUGGCUGUAUUCGAGGCUUGCAGACUGAAGCCAUUUAACAAACGCGUAAGUCUCCGGGAAGCCAACGAGUUUAUAAUCGCUGCCCACUUAUCAUUUGAUGUCAUACUGACAUACGUGUCCUAAUGAUAACUGAGAUGUUAAUUCAGGAGGCUGACCUCUAGCCUUCGACCAGUUGUUUCUUCCGAUUGUCUGUAAAGCCAGAGUCCUGGUUAACCCUUCAGGUGGCCUCUAGGCGGAGCUGUUUCGUCAAAUUCAUAUCUGGGUUUUUUAAGAAUUAAAAAGAAUUAAUUUUUACAGAGACGUGGUUCGGUUAUACGUUGCUCUAUCAUUUCAUUCCCGUGAGUCGCAUGAACUGGAUAUAAGAAUUUCAACUAUUUUAAGGGGGCGGAAAAGGAAAGGGAAUGUUCUUUACGCAUGAAAAAGUAGUACUGUACUGUACUGGUAGUAAAACAGGGAUUGCCCCAUCUUUUUAUUACUGUAUAAGGUAUUUGAAACGGUGCUACGAAUAUUGUUUUAAAAACCAGAGGAGGGUGAGUGGAUGGAUCAAACCACUGACGUGUGGGGUGUGUGUGUGGAUGCUGGGUUUUAUUUCAAGUGCCUAGGAUCGGGGUGUGAAAGCGCAAUCUUAUACCUGUCGACUCAGAAAUAAGACUCACGGAGGUAAAAAAUAAUAAUACAGUAUUAAGUACGUAUGAGAUUGCAACCUAGUCAUUUUUAUCUAAGCUCCCUGUUUUUAUACUUAGAGCUUUUUCUUGUGCUUCUUUCGAGCUGAAUUGGGAGAGGGUCUGUUGUUUUCACUUACAAAAUUACUGUUAACCCCCCCUAGAUCGUGCAGGAGAACAAAACGCGAUUCAAAAUUAAACCCGAGUGAGAAAGAGGCAGGAAAGAGGAACAUAUUUUGGGAGAGUGACCUGGGACAAUAGAAAUCUCUUUCAAAAUUGUUCAUCAGAAUCAACUGCAAGGCUAAUUCAGCUCCCUAAUAAAAAACGAAGUGGAAAAAUACUGAAUUGCUCUUUUCAAAAGCAGCCUCUGAGAAGUCAGCGUAUUCACAGUACAAUAACUGUUUUUCUGGUUCAGACCUAAUUUGGCACACUGUCGCCAGCAGCGACCAGCCACAAGAUAUGGCAACGCAGACAUUAAAUUUAAACUAAGCAAGUCUGUAGUUCGGUUCCAUUUAUUAACGGGAAUGUAUACUCUUCCUUCGCCCCUUUGUUACUCCAGAGCCGCCACCCCCGCUCCACCGCCGAAACCAAGCUGACUUCUGCGCAUAGGAAUGCACCGGCAGGCUCAAAUUCUAUGCCCGAUUACAUGGAAGAAAGACCCAUUCCAAGGCAGCCUGACUUCUGAGUAAAAAUGCGCAGGACUGUGAGGCUGCAAUUCUAUGAAAAGAAAGGAUGGCUGAGUCACAAAUAGCUUCGAGGAGCCUUAACGGAAGAACUUAUUUCCAGUCUGUUUAGGUCUCAAGAGAACUUAUUUUCCGAGGUUUUUUUUUUGUUUUGUUUUUCGCCAACGGAGCAGAACCGCAGCGCAUUCUAAGGUUAUUUCAGGUUUGUUAAUGUUCGCAAUAAUACCGGUGAGUAAAGAUCUUCGUUUGGAGAGCCUAAUGCCCACAAGGGAAGACAGAUUAUAAGAAACGAACAAGUUUAAUUCUUGCAGAUUCGAGGUCGGGGAACACAUUACGAUUCCUCUAAGCUGACACACAAACCUGGGUGAUGUACAUUAGUAAUGAACAGCAAACUUACACAUUUCUAUUCAUGGGGAGUAAGUUGAGGGGGGGUAUUCUUGGAUUCAGUCAAGAUCAAAGGUUGUUGGCGUCAUUAACGACAGCCUCUAGCGCAGGAGGUAUUGUAAAACGCGGGUCAUUUCAGUCACUUGAAAGGCUUUUCAUUUGAAACUUGACUUUUAAACAAUGCAAGAGCACGAUCCGGCCAAAAAGUUAAGCAUUAAAAGAGAGAGAGAAAGAGAUUUCUAGAGGAGAAUUAAGCCUGGAGCUUAAAUCGCCCUCGAGGUAAUUCCCUGAACUCACAGGUGUCUAACUUCGGCAGGCGAGUCCUCCAGGUUUUCAGCUUCUGAAAUGCCACUUUAUAUUCUCAGAUGUGGUGGCUGUUGCUUUUCAAUCGCUUACAAUCUAUCUUGCUCUUUCCCCACCACUUCUCUUUAUUUCUUUGGUCAUGUUUACGGGAGAAAAAGCGGGUGGGGAAAGCAGACCCGCUGGAAGAAAGGGCCUAAGCGAAGGAGCCGAAAGAGAAAUCUAAGCCGAAGCAGACGGACCGUAGGAAAAUUCCAUUUAAUGGCGCCCAGGAGCGGGAGAAACGUCUCCCUCUCAAUCGCGCGUGCACCAAUUAGGAAUUCUCUUUGAUGUUGAACUGCUCCAUUCCGACGUCGGCGUACACUUGGGCCUUGGGCGAUCGCUGCGCCCCUCCACGGGAAGGUCGUCCUUCACUUGAGCUUGGGUAGGAUCAAUGCCUUUCCCUUGGUCGCUUGGUUUUCCAUUUGACCUCAGCCACGGGCAGGAGGAGAAGGUGAAGGACUCCCGCGGUGUAGAGUCCCGUUGGCGGCGGCGGCGGCGGAAGUUAAUUCUUCGCAAGGUGACGGCGGAGGAAAGAUGCCCAAAGACGGCUGUGGAAGGGAAUUGGCCGCGAAGGCUGGCUGCGGAGGACCGCCUUGGCGGACGGAGAAAGCCGGUUCUUUCAUCCCCAGCCCGGGGAGAGGAGGAACUUCUGGCUGGAGAGGGGUCGGAGGAAAUUUCUCGGCCUCAAAUUCCAAGCAAGAGGAUUCCUGGUCUUUUCUCCUCGAAGCGUACAAGCAAGACGAGCUGAUCUUCGGAGGGAGGAACUCAUGGUGGGGAUGGUGACCUCUCCAACCUGGAUGGUGGGAAGGAGGUGGAAGGAACCGCAGUCCGGACUGGUGGCUGUUCAUGCCUCUUCCCCCAUAGAACCACUGUCCACUGCUCCCUCCUCGCCUCAAGCCAACCCAAAUUGCAGUGUGAGGCUUUGGCAAGGAGAGUGUAUAUAUGGGGUUCUGAAACCCACCUAUUAUCCUAUAGGGUGUGCGGGUUUACAGGAAAGUUGCGAAGAUAACACCCUCCAGGCAGGAGCUUGGCGAAAAAAAUGAUGGAAUAUACCGAGCCACUGUGUGUGCGUGUGCGAGAGAGAGAGAAUGUUUAAGGGAAAAGGUCUCGAGCAAUGGACUUAUCUGUUAGAAAAUGCGUCCGCCAAGCCACUUCCGGCGGGCUAGCCAAUCCCAGAUGGACAUGGCUUCUACGGACAUCCCCUGGUGUCAAUUUUAAUGGCAAACUUUACUGGUUUGCGGAGGGACUCAUCUUUUUUUUUUUAAAGGAACGAAAGAAAAUCUUCGGCGCAGACAUCUGUAGCUACAAAUCCAUUCACUUCACGCCACUCCCUCCUCCCCUCACCCACUCCUCCGAAAUAAAAUCCGUCUGCGACAAAGGGGAAGAUGAGAAUUGGAAAGCCCUUUGAACCCUGAAAAAGCAAACGAUAAUAAUAAUGCUAAUGAUUUGUGCGCGUCUGCAGAUUUACAGUCUUCUUGCUUGUGCCUCUUUGCAGUGUCUUACUCACUGCUGCGCCUCGCUACGGAGAAAAGGCCGGAUUUAUUUUUAUUUUUUUACAAUAUUCGGGAGGAGAGCCUAGCUGGAAUCGCUGGGCCCGCUCUGCCUCCAUACUUGAAAAACUUAGGGCACGUCAAUCUCAUGCACAAACACACCAAAUUUCUGCUUUUAACUAACGAUAAACCUGGGCACCCCCGGCUAAAAUAUUGGCUUACAAUAAACUGUGUUCCCUGGAAAAUUUGAAGGCAAAUAAGCCACUUUCUUAUAAUGUACUACGCCAUCAUAUGGCUAUGUAUUCAUAUAUAAACAAGAGAAUAUAUACGAAUGCAGUAGGUCAUCAGGCCUGAAACACUAUGGAUGUGAGUGUGCAUGUUUGCAGCCAGUUAGAUCUAAAUUCAUCGCAUACAUAUUGCAAAAACUACAUAUUGUUGUAUGGUUUUGUGUUUUUUAAAAUAAAGGCAGUCGCCCAGUUCUAUCA